Cyprinus carpio (common carp) is the source of this 385-nucleotide long non-coding RNA. RefSeq lists it as uncharacterized. The transcript has 3 exons. The record is from RefSeq and is a predicted model, not a curated record. NCBI's taxonomy places the organism in Eukaryota, Metazoa, Chordata, Actinopteri, Cypriniformes, Cyprinidae.
AUAUAAACCCCAUUUAUUCAUUACCCGAGAUCUGUUAUGUUCUCCUUCAUGUUCCUUCCUUGCCCUCAUCUUCACUGACGUCCAAACUCUCUGGUGCAGCUUUCCUCACGUCUGUUUCUUCGUCAUAACACCCCUUGGCUAAAGGACACCCCCUGCCCCACUCAUUGGGCAGCCCAGACUCACCACUGAAUCCCUUCAACUGGUGCCUGGUCCAGCGGAGAACGGUUCAACAUGCCUGAGCCCACAAAGAAAGAUGAUGGCCAACCUGAAGAGAAUGUUGCCCCAGACUCUGGUGACGCCCCAUCUGAGAAUUCGGUUGUGGUGACAACGAAAGGUAGGUGUCCAACCAUGUAACUCUGCCCCCCCACCCAACCUCACUCUUUUA